CAGCAGCCACGGGAAUACAGAGGGUGCGAGCGUUAAUCGGAUUUACUGGGCGUAAAGCGUGCGUAGGCGGUCUGACAAGUCAGAUGUGAAAUCCCCGGGCUUAACCUGGGAACUGCAUUUGAAACUGUCAGGCUGGAGUCUUGUAGAGGGGGGUGGAAUUCCAGGUGUAGCGGUGAAAUGCGUAGAGAUCUGGAGGAAUACCGGUGGCGAAGGCGGCCCCCUGGACAAAGACUGACGCUCAGGUGCGAAAGCGUGGGGAGCAAACAGGAUUAGAUACCCGUGUAGUCCCUGUCUCUUAUAC
This 301-nucleotide ribosomal RNA is filed under the name uncultured bacterium. RNAcentral's name for it is "partial 16S ribosomal RNA". It matches the Rfam family "Bacterial small subunit ribosomal RNA", at positions 509 to 807 of the family's 1533-position model. The record is from RNAcentral.